Molecule: ribosomal RNA, 484 nt
Filed under: uncultured bacterium
Lineage: Bacteria
Description: bacterial SSU rRNA
Rfam family: Bacterial small subunit ribosomal RNA
Source: RNAcentral
CUACGUGCCAGCAGCCGCGGUAAUACGGAGGAUGCGAGCGUUAUCCGGAUUUAUUGGGUUUAAAGGGUGCGUAGGUUGUUCGGUAAGUCAGCGGUGAAACCUGAGCGCUCAACGUUCAGCCUGCCGUUGAAACUGCCGGGCUUGAGUUCAGUGGCGGCAGGCGGAAUUCGUGGUGUAGCGGUGAAAUGCAUAGAUAUCACGAGGAACUCCGAUUGCGAAGGCAGCUUGCCAUACUGCGACUGACACUGAAGCACGAAGGCGUGGGUAUCAAACAGGAUUAGAUACCCUGGUAGUCCACGCAGUAAACGAUGAUUACUAGGAGUUUGCGAUAUACCGUCAAGCUUCCACAGCGAAAGCGUUAAGUAAUCCACCUGGGGAGUACGCCGGCAACGGUGAAACUCAAAGGAAUUGACGGGGGCCCGCACAAGCGGAGGAACAUGUGGUUUAAUUCGAUGGUACGCGAGGAACCUUACCCGGGAUUGAA